RNAcentral lists this transfer RNA (69 nucleotides) under Ictidomys tridecemlineatus (thirteen-lined ground squirrel). RNAcentral's name for it is "Spermophilus tridecemlineatus (thirteen-lined ground squirrel) tRNA". It matches the Rfam family "tRNA". From Rfam's summary of the family: Transfer RNA (tRNA) molecules are approximately 80 nucleotides in length. The record is from Rfam by way of RNAcentral. Lineage: Eukaryota; Metazoa; Chordata; Mammalia; Rodentia; Sciuridae.
GGGGUUGUGGCUCAGAGGUAGAGCUCUGGCCUACCAUGCUUGAGGCACUGGGUUCCAUCCCCAGCACCA